RNAcentral lists this ribosomal RNA (838 nucleotides) under uncultured Arcicella sp. Its description in RNAcentral is "bacterial SSU rRNA". It matches the Rfam family "Bacterial small subunit ribosomal RNA", at positions 13 to 864 of the family's 1533-position model. Lineage: Bacteria; Pseudomonadati; Bacteroidota; Cytophagia; Cytophagales; Flectobacillaceae. The record is from RNAcentral.
UUGAUCCUGGCUCAGGAUGAACGCUAGCGGCAGGCCUAAUACAUGCAAGUCGAACGGUGUCUUCGGACAUAGUGGCGUACGGGUGCGUAACACGUAUGCAACCUACCUUACAUUGGGGGAUAGCCUUUCGAAAGGGAGAUUAAUACCGCAUAAGACAGUAACUAGGCAUCUAGUAGCUGUUAAAGAUUUAUCGAUGUAAGCUGGGCAUGCGUCCAAUUAGUUAGUUGGCGAGGUAACGGCUCACCAAGACUAUGAUUGGUAGGGGAACUGAGAGGUCAAUCCCCCACACUGGCACUGAGAUACGGGCCAGACUCCUACGGGAGGCAGCAGUAGGGAAUAUUGGGCAAUGGACGCAAGUCUGACCCAGCCAUGCCGCGUGCAGGAAGAAGGCGUUAUGCGUUGUAAACUGCUUUUAUACAGGAAGAAACGACUCUUGCGAGAGGCAUUGACGGUACUGUAUGAAUAAGCACCGGCUAACUCCGUGCCAGCAGCCGCGGUAAUACGGAGGGUGCAAGCGUUGUCCGGAUUUAUUGGGUUUAAAGGGUGCGCAGGUGGUUUAUUAAGUCAGUGGUGAAAGACGGUCGCUCAACGAUUGCAGUGCCAUUGAAACUGGUAGACUUGAGUAAAGUAGAGGUGGGCGGAAUUGAUAGUGUAGCGGUGAAAUGCAUAGAUAUUAUCAAGAACUCCAAUUGCGUAGGCAGCUCACUUGGCUUUUACUGACACUCAUGCACGAAAGUGUGGGUAUCAAACAGGAUUAGAUACCCUGGUAGUCCACACUGUAAACGAUGAUAACUAGGUGUCGGCCGAAUCUGGUCGGUGCCACAGCGAAAGCGUUAAG